UACGUAGGGAGCAAGCGUUGUCCGGAUUUACUGGGUGUAAAGGGUGCGUAGGCGGCUUUGCAAGUCAGAAGUGAAAUCCAUGGGCUUAACCCAUGAACUGCUUUUGAAACUGCAGAGCUUGAGUGGAGUAGAGGUAGGCGGAAUUCCCGGUGUAGCGGUGAAAUGCGUAGAGAUCGGGAGGAACACCAGUGGCGAAGGCAGCAUACCGGCGCUCAACUGACGCUCAUGCACGAAAGCGUGGGUAGCGAACAGG
Molecule: ribosomal RNA, 253 nt
Filed under: uncultured Ruminococcus sp.
Lineage: Bacteria; Bacillati; Bacillota; Clostridia; Eubacteriales; Oscillospiraceae
Description: partial 16S ribosomal RNA
Rfam family: Bacterial small subunit ribosomal RNA
Source: RNAcentral